RNAcentral lists this non-coding RNA (30 nucleotides) under Homo sapiens (human). Lineage: Eukaryota; Metazoa; Chordata; Mammalia; Primates; Hominidae. The record is from RNAcentral.
UGAGAGGAGCCACAUGUCCUUAUGGGGAGA